This 559-nucleotide ribosomal RNA is filed under the name uncultured bacterium. Its description in RNAcentral is "bacterial SSU rRNA". It matches the Rfam family "Bacterial small subunit ribosomal RNA", at positions 50 to 655 of the family's 1533-position model. The record is from RNAcentral.
AACACAUGCAAGUCGAACGAGAUCUUCGGAUCUAGUGGCGCACGGGUGAGUAACGCGUGGGAACCUACCUUUUAGUACGGGACAACGUUUGGAAACGAACGCUAAUACCGUAUACGCCCUCUGGGGGAAAGGUCAGCCGCUGAAAGAGGGGCCCGCGUCUGAUUAGCUUGUUGGUAAGGUAACGGCUUACCAAGGCAACGAUCAGUAGCUGGUCUGAGAGGAUGAUCAGCCACACUGGGACUGAGACACGGCCCAGACUCCUACGGGAGGCAGCAGUGGGGAAUAUUGGACAAUGGAGGCAACUCUGAUCCAGCAAUGCCGCGUGUGUGAUGAAGGCCCUAGGGUUGUAAAGCACUUUCAACGGUGAAGAUGAUGACGGUAGCCGUAGAAGAAGCCCCGGCUAACUUCGUGCCAGCAGCCGCGGUAAUACGAAGGGGGCGAGCGUUAUUCGGAAUUAUUGGGCGUAAAGGGCUCGCAGGCUGCUUGAACAGUUAGACGUGAAAUCCCCGGGCUUAACCUGGGAACUGCGUUUAAUACUAGCAAGCUAGAGAAAUAGAGA